GGGGUUGUGGCUUAGUGGUAGAGCGCUCGCCUUGCACGCGCGAGACCCUGGGUUCCAUCCUCAGCACCACA
This 71-nucleotide transfer RNA is filed under the name Marmota monax (woodchuck). RNAcentral describes it as "tRNA.Ala". It matches the Rfam family "tRNA". Rfam says of the family: Transfer RNA (tRNA) molecules are approximately 80 nucleotides in length. Their secondary structure includes four short double-helical elements and three loops (D, anti-codon, and T loops). Further hydrogen bonds mediate the characteristic L-shaped molecular structure. tRNAs have two regions of fundamental functional importance: the anti-codon, which is responsible for specific mRNA codon recognition, and the 3' end, to which the tRNAs corresponding amino acid is attached (by aminoacyl-tRNA synthetases). tRNAs cope with the degeneracy of the genetic code in two manners: having more than one tRNA (with a specific anti-codon) for a particular amino acid; and 'wobble' base-pairing, i.e. permitting non-standard base-pairing at the 3rd anti-codon position. The record is from RNAcentral. Lineage: Eukaryota; Metazoa; Chordata; Mammalia; Rodentia; Sciuridae.